This is a non-coding RNA of Salmo salar (Atlantic salmon), 73 nucleotides long. The record is from Rfam. Lineage: Eukaryota; Metazoa; Chordata; Actinopteri; Salmoniformes; Salmonidae.
AUCCCUGUGGCUCAGUUGGUAGAGCAUGGUGUGUGCAACGCCAGGGUUGUGGGUUCGAUUCCCACGGGGGGCC